Molecule: long non-coding RNA, 985 nt
Filed under: Cervus hanglu yarkandensis (Yarkand deer)
Lineage: Eukaryota; Metazoa; Chordata; Mammalia; Artiodactyla; Cervidae
Description: lncRNA (ENSCHYG00000002258.1)
Source: RNAcentral
CCUGUGACAGUGGGGAGCACAGGACUCUUAAUCCACAUGGUGAGAUCUCCCCUGUGUGUGUGGUUGCAGCAGAGGAAGAGGGAGUAUGUUUAUUCUAACCAUUAAGCAGCCUGUUUUCAGCUUUGAAGCUUGAUCUCUAAAGGUGCAAGUUGUCUGAGUAAGAACCCUAUAAGAAGAGGAGGAAGAGGAAAGUAAAGGAUGGCUGUUUCUCAGAUUACUGUGUUGCUCUAGCUGUCUGUUUUCUUCCGGUCACUUCCUCUCAUGAUCUCUGCUCAGGCACCCUGUACAGUGGUGAAAGGCAGGAGCCCUGGCCAACUGCCUUCACUUCACUGGAACUUCAAAGGAAUGCAUUCGGAGUUUCCUUUUAAUCAUGACACUGUCACGGUUGACAUUGAAUGAUGUGGCCAUCCAAUUCUCUCCAGAAGAGUGGGAAUGCCUGGACCCUGCUCAGAGGGCCUUAUACGUGGAUGUGAUGUCAGAGACCUUCAGGAACCUGCUCUCUGUGGGUGAGGAUAACUUCCCUCUAAAAGUUGGGAAGGUGUCUGGAUUUACCCUUAUUUGCCUUUUGUAAUCCCCUGCCUUGCUUAACUGAGCUCAAAGCCGUGUUGACUCAGGCAUGAAAAGCUUCAUGAUGUAGCCUCAGGAAUUUAAACAUGCCCUUUUUUAGAUGGUCUGGCCUGGCCAUUUCAUAAUGCACCAGAAGUGUAGUGGAGAAUCCUAUUUAUUGUUCCUCAAAAAUUUAACAUAGUUGAGAAGUUUCAUAACUGUGUUUGAAGUAUUACUUUUAUUUAAUAUCUUAUAUUCAACCUGAAACUUAUAUUCAUGCAGUGUAAUGAAUAGGAUAUCUAUGACUCUUUAUAUCUUGUAGAUAUUUCUCAUAUACACAUCUGGAAAUUACAACUAAAAUCACACACUGAUAGAGGAGGAGUAUGCCAAACAGUGAUUUGGGGAAGAAAUGAAAUCCCGGAAAUCAAACAUUUUAAUC